AGAUUCUUCACUCUAUGUUGCUACAACUCUCUCUUUUUCAUCUUCUCCUUUGGCCUCCUUCAAACUCCAAACCAACUUCAUCACUCAUCUUCUCUGGAUACAAUAAAGGCAAGAACCAUGGCCAACCAAUCAGAUUUGGGAAAAGCAUUCUUCAAGGAAUCAGCAUCAGGGUCGCUCAAGCGCCCUCAGACAGAGGGUCGCUCAAGCGCCCUCAGACAGAGGGUCGCUCAAGCGCCCUCAGACAGAGGGGGCUCCAGCUCAAAUGCACCAAAUGCACUUCCUGGCUCACGUGCGCUCCAGCACCCUAGACAGGGGGGCUCCAGCCCCAGCGGAGCAGCCUGAAGCACGUUUUGGCAGCACUGUACAUGUGACCCAGCAUGCUUCCUGUGACCAGCUGACUUGGCCUCCAAGCUUGUCUUAUAUUUUGAAUUUUGGAGGGAAAUUAGAUCAGAAUUGAGGCCCUUCUUCACCUAUAAAUAAGAGGGCCUCCCCUUUGUAAUUCUCACUUUUGGAUGUAAUGAAAUGCUCCAGAAUUGUUUGCUCAACCUCUUAUAUCCCUUAGUCACCUCUGAAUUUCGAAUUCAGAUACUCCCCUCUAGCUUCCUUCCUUAGUAGGAAGGCCUUCUCAGCUUGGAGGCAUCAUACACACACCACAUCUUCAUCCAAACUUUCAUCAAACACCUUUCGAUGCAUCCAUUUCACUGCACCAAAUCUCAUUCCACUGUGCAUCUGUUUCGAAGCUUCUUCUUGCGUGCUUAAUGCUAGGAGAGGGUUCCAUCAAGUGGUAUCAGGAGCUUAGGUCGUCCACGCACCAAGAGUUAAGCUAUUUCAUCCAUUUUCUAUUCCAAUUCUGUUUCUGUUUUUGCAUUCUGUCCAGUUUUUGUUCCAACACUGUUUCCAUUUUGUUUUGGUUGUGUUCUUCUUAAUUUGGUGUGUUUAAUCAUUGUUUGGUGUGCUUCCAUUCUAUUAUCAUGUUUACUUUUAAUUUUAAAAGGUGAAUCUUCUUUGUUUGAGUCAUUUUCAGCCUUAUCUUUCAAUUUCAAGUUUGUCAUAAGUCAUGUGCUCAAAAUUCUGAUGCAGUUUUUAAUUUGUCAUUAAAUCUGGUUUUCCUGCUUUGGUUUUUGGAUGUGCUUGAGUUCAGAUGAAAGUGAAUUCAUAUAUCAACCAAAUAAGGCAAUGAGAGCUUAAUCUAGCCUUGGUGAUAUGAGCAGAAUCACUAAAACUCUGGUUCAAGUUUCAAAUCUGAUUGAAAAUUCAUUUCUGGUUUAAGUUUUCUUUGAAUCUGUUUUAUGACUUUUAAGUCUGUUCUGAUGCAUUGUCCACCACUGUUUGGUGUUGUCUAAGGUUGCAAAUGGUAUGGCAAACCAUAAAAAGCAAUGAAAUGCAUCUAGCAUAGCUUGGUUGCCUCAUAAACCAGAAACACCUACUGUUUUUGUCUUAUUUCAAGCUUUUCACGGUGCUUAAAAUCCUUGGUUGUCUAAUCUGAAUUUAAUUCAUUCUAGCUGAUAAAUUCCAGCUUGAUCUAGUGUAUUAAGACUUCCUUGAGUCAUUUUCAUUGUUGCUAUAGCUUUUGAAUCAAUCAAACUUGAUUUUGGUGGAUUGUUGGGGUAUUUUUCUGCAUAAAUUGGCCAUAACAAAGUCUGAUUUUGAUUUCUGCUAAUUCUGAGCUAUUUGAUAACUUGAACAAGUUUAAAAUGGUGUUUAAAAGUUGCUAGAAGAUUUCAAUUAGUAAUAUCUUGGCCUAAGUGCAGAGUUGUGUCUUAAACCAUCAUAUUUUGAGUUAUAUUAGGAAGUGGCAAGGUCAAUUUGAGUAGCAAUCUGUUUUUAACUCAUUUCAGAGUUUGAACACGUUUCAAAUCACUAAUUAAAGUUGCUGAAGUGAUUCAUUUCGAGUUUAAGCCACUUCUGUGCAAAUUUGAGUUUCAAACCACCAAAACCAAGCCAAUUUUCUGGUGCAGUGUUGAAAACUGAAUCUGUUUUGAUGAAUGUACUUUGAAAUCCAAUUUGGCUUGCAGCAAUACCUGGUUCAGUGAUUAAAAAUAUAAUUAAAUGGUUAAAAGAAGCAAAGCAAAGUGUUAAAAGGGAUUAUGAACCGUGCAGCCUAGUCCAAACCCAAAAACACAAAAUCUGGGUUUCUUUAAGGCAUCUCAUCGAACACCUUCUGUUUUUAUCAAACAGUUUCGUGCUAAUUGUCUUUCAACCUGCAUUUUGAGUUUUCUUGCUUUCUUAAUUUGUUCUAGCACCUUUCUUAGGAUCCAUUUGAGUGCCUACUUCUGUUGUAAACCUAUUUUUAUUGCUUUUGAGCUUUUGGCCUCUUAAAUUGUCCAGUUCAAGUCAAAUUUUGGUGUUGAAACUGGUGCAGAUUUUUAAUCUGUUUGGUGACUGUUUUGGAUGAUUGCAAUGGUGUUGUGAAGUCCAAUUGGAGCAUUCAAGUUGCAGAACCAUUUCCCUACCAAGGUAGCAUCUUAGGAAGUGGAGAGGAACCUGAAUUUGUGAAUUCAAGUGUGCUGUCCAGCAAACAUUAAUUGUAUUUUUUUUUUCAGCAGCAUAAAACACUUUUCUGCAGUGAGAAUUUGAGUGAAAAUUGGCAACUCCUACAGCCAAAUUUUGAGAGACCAGCUCCAUACCAAAGUGAAUGAGAAAUUGAGUGUUUGGAACCUAAAAGAAGCUUGCUAGAGCACCCUGAAACAGUAAAGGAAGUGAGAUUUGAGUGAAUGCACAUGAAGCCAAAUAGCCUUGGCCGAGAGAAAUACUGCACUAUUGUCCAAUGCUGAAACAGUCCAGUUUCAGAAUCUGAUUUGUGUUAUGCAAUUGGCUUAUACAGUUCUGAUUUGAGAAACAUUUUAAAUGAUCAAAAGGAUUUUGAAACUUGUUGAUUGAACUGGUUUUUACAAUUGAAGGUGCAGAUUUCAGUUUUUAAAAAAUUGUUCAAAACAGUUUUCAUCACACCUUGUUUAAACCAAUUCAGCUUUCUGAUUUUUGGUGCAGUUUGGUGUUGUCUUCUAGACAAUAACCCAGUUUUCAUCCAGUUCUGUUUUGACCAGUUUGGUCCUUAAAUUCAAGCUGAUUCCAUCAUCAAUUUUGGACCAAUUGAAUAAAUUGAUUUGCUGAACUGGAACAUUAAAUAUUCUUGCUGGUUUGAUAUAACAGUGCAGGUUUUCACUUGAAGGGUGUCUUAUAGCUUGUGCAGCAGAUUUUCAAAAACUGUUUUGGAGAGCUUUGUGAAGACCAUUAAAAGUGAGAUGAACGUGCUCUAAUUGGAGUUUCACGGUUGCACAGAAACUAAAUAGCAGAGUCAAUACUCUGCAGUAGCCAACACUGUUCCAGAAGCUUGAAACCUCUUUGAGCAAGGAUUGAAGGGCUAAAGCACUAAGAGAGCAACAAAAACAAGUUUCAAAUCAGUGCACAUAUGGAGCAGCAGAGUAGUUUAGCUUGAUUCUUUUGAGUUUUGAACUUGUAAUAUGUUUCCAUUUUAGUUUUCAGUUUUGUUUGUAAAAGGCCAUUUAAGACCAAGUGUUUGGAAGAGUCCUUGGUGCUCUCUCCAAUCUUGGCAAUUUUCUUUGCUUGCUUUGAUAGUAGACGGUGAGUGUGUCUUGUUAGCCAAAGUUACAAGCCUCACCUAAGAUUUCCUUUGUUUUA
Vigna angularis (adzuki bean) is the source of this 3639-nucleotide long non-coding RNA. RefSeq lists it as uncharacterized. The transcript has 2 exons. The record is from RefSeq and is a predicted model, not a curated record. NCBI's taxonomy places the organism in Eukaryota, Viridiplantae, Streptophyta, Magnoliopsida, Fabales, Fabaceae.